GGGAAACUGAAGCUAAUACCAGAUAAGUAAAAGAUACUGGAAUGUUCUUUUAUCUAAAGUUUCGACGCUCGAGGAUUGGACUGCGCCGGAUUAGGUUGUUGUUAGGGUAACGUCCUGGCAAGCCGAUAAUCCGUACGAGCCUUGAGAGAGGAAGCUCGGAGAUGGAUUCUGAGACAAGAAUCCAGGCCCUACGGGGCGCAGCAGGCGCUAAAAUUUCCCAAUGCACGCAAGUGUGAGGAAGGGAUCUGGAGUGCUUUCCCGUUUUAGGGGAAGCUUUUGUGGAGUGUUAAAAGCUCCAAGAAUAAGUGGUGGGUAAGACGGGUGCCAGCCGCCGCGGUAAUACCCGCGCCACGAGUGAUGACCACGUUUAUUGGGCUUAAAGCGUUCGUAUCCGGCUCAGAAGGUCUUUAGUGAAAUCCCGCAGCUAACUGUGGGGCUUGCUAGUGAAACCACUGAGCUACGGAUCGGGAGAGGUAUGGGGUA
Molecule: ribosomal RNA, 483 nt
Filed under: uncultured archaeon
Lineage: Archaea
Description: bacterial SSU rRNA
Rfam family: Archaeal small subunit ribosomal RNA
Source: RNAcentral